CAUUUUCUCCUGUCUGAAGACCUCAGAGCCUAAUUCCAUUUCAUAGCAUAGAUCUUGUUUGUUUUUGACUGGAGCUCAAUUGCUUGGCAUGAAAAUGAUGAUGCUUGCUGUAGAUUCCCUGACUCUAAACUGGGACCUUGUCACAGGCUGGCUGGCGCUUUAAGGGGAGCUGGGCUCAGCCUUGCCUGUGAGGUAAUAGCCAUGCACCAGCUGACCCUGAUGUAGUGAUUUAAUGACACCCAAUAGCCCAGGCUGUGAAAGGGUCAGGGUGGACUACAAAGAGAGAGCGAGCAGAAAGAACUCAGCCAUAGAACACAGCCCAUGAAGUAGGCUGCUGAAGGGAGCCAUAGUGAGCAAUAGAUGUCUGUCUAUCAAGGAUGAGCCAAGGAAAAAGGAAAGGUAGUUCUGUGGGCUAGUGUUCUAGAGGAGGACCAAGGAGCCUAGACAGAUCUAGGGAGAAGGCUGAGGGUAUGUCUAUAUUGCAGCUGGAAGUGAGCCUCCUUGCCUCCCACUACUAUGCUAAAAAUAGCUGUGUGGAUGCUGCUGUGGCAAUAGCAGAGGCUCAGGCUAGCCGCUCAAGCCCACCUUGGUUUGAGCCUAUAGGAUAGGCUGAGAAGUAUCCCAAGAGAGGCUGAAGGAUCUCUUAUUGGGACUUGUGAACUUCUACCUGGACUUCUGUUACCCCAGAAGGGGCUGGACUAGAUGUGGCUUAGCCACAGAGCAAGUUUGGAUGGAAACAGUCCACUGUGGGACCAAAGUGGCUGAUAACCGAGGUGCUAGAUGCAGAUACCUUCAGCAUGAUGCUCUAACACUACAGCAGUGAGUGGAACUGCCUACAGGCUCUCAAGGACAACUGUUAAGAAAAAAGACCCUCAACCUCUACUGCCUGCUGUUCUUCAGGAAUUCGAUCCCUGGCCCAAGGUACCAAGGUGGGUCUGGUACCAGAAGAAGAGGGAUGAAAGACUGAAACAACAGCAUACUGACAGGCAAGAUGAAAGGCUGGGACUCACCACCCCAGUACAGAACAGGGUUUCAGUGAUGGGGCUGUCACCUGGAAAGCAGUUCCUGGAACAGGAAUGGUGGCUUAGGGAGGGAGACACGGCUGCUACUCUGAAAAGAGCUCAACAGGGAACUGUUUCAGCGACUCCUGUCCAUAAUGGCUGCCAGAAUACCAUCUCCUGUUGCCUCCCCUACACCACAGCACAAUCACCCUGCAACAUACCUCAGAUUCAUACAGGAUUCAAAAGCAGUGGGGCAGGACAACUAAACUCCAUGCAGCCUUCCUUCUUCAACUCUUUUCUAAUGGAAACAUCCACCUCCCUACCCCACUGCCAAGUGAAGGGAAAAUGUGUAAAGAAGGGAAAGGAGAACAUGGGGCCAGAGAACAUGUAGUGGCAUGGGGAUUAUGUCAGGGACGAUAGGAGCUGAACUAACUUGCUGUGUUCAUGAGAAGCCAAUAAAAACAGCUUAAUUCUUGUAACAAUAUUUAAAGGGAAAUUAAUAUGUGACAACACAUUAAUGAGGUUCUCUGACAUGGCUCUUGAGAACAUGAAAAAGAGAAUAAGAGGCCACAAUUAACAUAUACUACAUUUAAUGGUAUAUAUUACUGACCCAUGUGUAAGGCCAAACUCUUCCCUGGUGUAAACUGGCACAGUUUCUUUGACUUAAAUGGAACCAUGCCAAUUGACACCAGCAGAAAAUUUGGCUCAUUAAAUUGAUGCCCACAUGGCAGAAUUAAGACUUGCAAGCUGUCUCAUUGAACAAUGCACACGAGAGCUGUAUCCCAGCAUUUGACAGCUAGAAAAAAUCUGAUGGACAUACACACACUGCACAAGGAUAAAAAUCUUUCUCUUGCUUUGGUCUGGUUUAGGGUUGGAAAUGAAGGGUUGGGACUGGAAGGAAAGAAGCAGUAAUGUUUAUUCAAGUUGUCUGGUUUUAAUAUUAAAACACUUAUCUCCAUUAGAUUUCAGCUUUGGUGUUAACACACUUACCCACCUCUUCUCACUGUGAAGGGCUUUAAUGGAUUCAUGAGCUUUUAACAAUUCUGCCUUAAUAGAGGCUAUUGCCUAAGGAAAAAAGAGAGAAGAUUCUGUUUUGAAUUUUACCAGUGUCGUGCUUGUAAUCAUAUUUGCUGUGUAAACCUUGCUGUAAGCAGUAAUAUCAUAUUUAGGAUAUGUCUACAUUACAGUUUUUGCCUUGAGUUAUUUCACUGCCAUUAACUUGAGGUAUUAGCACAUUUCUAACAGUCUGGAUACUUCUCUAGGGAUCACACUUUUCCACUGUGCCAGGAAGCAGAUCCUCAGGAACCCCUAAGCAUCUUGAUUUAGCACGUCUAGUACAGUUCUCGUACAUCCUAUAUCUACCUUCUGACAAAACAGGACUCUAGGACUUCCAAUCUGUGUCUUUUAAAGCAGCACUGAAAAACCAGCAUGGUGUCAUAGUAGAACACAAAAGGAGGAUAAAGCUCCUCAGAAAGAAUUCUCAGCCCAUGGAGAAACUAACAAGUCAACAGCCAGCAUGACAAAACCCCAGGCUAC
Long non-coding RNA from Dermochelys coriacea (leatherback sea turtle), 2537 nucleotides. RefSeq lists it as uncharacterized. The record is from RefSeq and is a predicted model, not a curated record. Lineage: Eukaryota; Metazoa; Chordata; Testudines; Dermochelyidae. The transcript has 4 exons.